GUAUAACAUGUGUUGGCUAUA
RNAcentral lists this microRNA (21 nucleotides) under Callithrix jacchus (white-tufted-ear marmoset). RNAcentral's name for it is "cja-miR-9950". Lineage: Eukaryota; Metazoa; Chordata; Mammalia; Primates; Cebidae. The record is from miRBase by way of RNAcentral.